GUGCUCACUUUGGCAGCACAUGCACUAAAAUUGGAAUAAUACAGAGGAUCUUAGCACGGCCCCUGCACGAGAGAGAGAGAGAGAGAGAGAGAGAGAGAGAGAGAGAGA
Small nuclear RNA from Mesocricetus auratus (golden hamster), 108 nucleotides. NCBI's taxonomy places the organism in Eukaryota, Metazoa, Chordata, Mammalia, Rodentia, Cricetidae. The record is from RefSeq and is a predicted model, not a curated record.